UGGGGAAUAUUGGACAAUGGGCGGAAGCCUGAUCCAGCAACGCCGCGUGAGGGAUGACGGCCUUCGGGUUGUAAACCUCUUUCAGUACCGACGAAGCGAAAGUGACGGUAGGUACAGAAGAAGGACCGGCCAACUACGUGCCAGCAGCCGCGGUAAUACGUAGGGUCCGAGCGUUGUCCGGAAUUAUUGGGCGUAAAGGGCUCGUAGGCGGUUUGUCGCGUCGGGAGUGAAAACAGCGGGCUUAACUCGUUGCUUGCUUUCGAUACGGGCAGACUAGAGGUAUGCAGGGGAGAAUGGAAUUCCUGGUGUAGCGGUGAAAUGCGCAGAUAUCAGGAGGAACACCGGUGGCGAAGGCGGUUCUCUGGGCAUUACCUGACGCUGAGGAGCGAAAGUGUGGGGAGCGAACAGGAUUAGAUACCCUGGUAGUCCACACCGUAAAACCGUUGGGGNGCUAGGUGUGGGGUCCUUUCCACGGAUUCCGUGCCGUAGCUAACGCAUUAAGCGCCCCGCCUGGGGAGUACGGCCGCAAGGCUAAAACUCAAAUGAAUUGACGGGGUCAUAGCUGUUUUCCU
Molecule: ribosomal RNA, 572 nt
Filed under: uncultured bacterium
Lineage: Bacteria
Description: partial 16S ribosomal RNA
Rfam family: Bacterial small subunit ribosomal RNA
Source: RNAcentral